CUAAAAUGUUAUAAACUCGUUUCCAAACUUCGCUAAACCAGUUCCACUUAAGCCGCAGAAAUGAUUUCUGAAAAACAAAUACUUGUCUUAGUUUUCGUGCUAGUAUUUAAUUCAAAGCAUCUACUAGUACAAGGGGAUUGUACUGUGGAAGAUAAUCUAUACGCAAUCGUAAGCAAUGCUUGUGGAUUAGUAGUUGCUAGUUUUGAUCCUUCAUUUCCGUCAGACACUGUAGUGCAUACACGUGGUGAAACUGAUGGCCAGGGAUGGAAAAUCGAACGCCUAGGACACCCUGGUUUGUUUCACAUUAUCAACAACUUUACUGGGCUAGCACUGGAUAUUGAAAACUGUACCGCAGAUUUCUGCAAUGUUAAAUGUCAUGAUCUAGACGAAAAUUCAAUGUCUCAGCAAUGGUUUAUUGGUACAAAUUCGAAAAUAACGAAUGCCAUGAGAUUUCAGAAUUUAGACAUUACAUAUUCUGAUUACAAGCCUGGAGCUCCCUUAGGCGUGUGGAAAGAUGGAGACUACCCAAACCAAGAAUUUACAUUGGAGCUAAUCGAGUCAGUGGACAGAUUUAGAUCACAAAUUAAAUAUAGAAAAACUGUUGUGUGAUAUUUUUAUUCUAAUUGUUCCCAAAAUGUACACACUAAUAUAUUUUCAUUAUAGUUUAUUUGCUGCAUAAAUUA
Long non-coding RNA from Zophobas morio, 683 nucleotides. RefSeq lists it as uncharacterized. The transcript has 3 exons. NCBI's taxonomy places the organism in Eukaryota, Metazoa, Arthropoda, Insecta, Coleoptera, Tenebrionidae. The record is from RefSeq and is a predicted model, not a curated record.